RNAcentral lists this long non-coding RNA (24709 nucleotides) under Vitis vinifera (wine grape). Its description in RNAcentral is "long non-coding RNA (VVIN_LNC007313)". The record is from RNAcentral. Lineage: Eukaryota; Viridiplantae; Streptophyta; Magnoliopsida; Vitales; Vitaceae.
CAGAAACGACGUCGUCAAAGUCCAUUUCAUCGGAGUUACAGAUGAAGCAGGAGGGGUUCUUCUGCAAAACGUAGGAAACCUUGACUGGGUAAGAAAAUUCUUCUAAUCUCCCGUCCUGGAGGAUAAGCUUAGCGGUGGCCACAGAGGUGGCAUCGCAGGAACUGCAAAUACCCAUGUGGUUCGGAGUAAAAUUGGAUUACCCGGGCUAAAGGGUUGGAGUCNNNNNNNNNNNNNNNNNNNNNNNNNNNNNNNNNNNNNNNNNNNNNNNNNNNNNNNNNNNNNNNNNNNNNNNNNNNNNNNNNNNNNNNNNNNNNNNNNNNNGUUAAGUUUGAGAGCUUCCAAUAGGGGAAAUUUUGGAAUUUCUUGAAUCUAGUCUUUUUAAGGCAUGAAGUUUUUGUGUCUCUGUUUGUAAUUUGCAGAAUUUUUCUUUUUGGGUUUUCAAAGUUUUGUCUUCUGAUAAUUUUUUUGCAAUUAAUCCAGUAAAUAGUUGCUUUUCAAUGUAGAUUAUGUAAUUUGAAACCUUGUGGAUGUGGUUUUGGGGAAGUACUAACUUAAGGGCCUCCUUAUGGAAAGAAAGUGCACGGAUGACUUUCCCUCUCUCAGCUUCUUCUCCUUCUUAAAAACUUAAGUUGCAGAAAAUAUCUUUUAGCUUGACCUUUUGCUUAAGUGGCCAAGAGAUGCAAUGAAAAACUUCACAUCUCGCCCAACUGAUUCUUGUGUUUGGUUUUAUGCAAUGACAGCUAUCCUGAUAAGAGAAGAGUUGAAGAAGGUAACCUAGAUGGUUCUCUUGAAGCCUCUCACUGUCUAAAGUUGGUAAGAAUCACUUAAUUCCACCUUUACAUACGAGUGUAAUUCACCAAAAAAGGGAAAAGUUCCAACAUUAUGCUCAUGUAAUCUAAUUGAGCAGAAUGUGAGUUAAUACGCUUCCUUCUCCCUCCCUUUUCUUGUUCUUAUUCUUUUUCUUUUUCUCUCUUUUUCUUCUAUCAAUCCAUGUAGUCGUCCAUAGUCUUACAGCCGUUUAACAUAUAUCCAUAGUAAUUUAGAAUGAAUUUCCUUAAAAUGAUUUCAGCAAUGUCUUAGUGUUCAACCCUUUUUUUGUCUGGUCCCAGGAUAUGGGACACUUGACAGACUGUGUCAAACCCAAGAAGAAACAAUCCCCUAAUACCGAUAUGCAAAAUUCUUUGAAGCAAGAGGUAUGGAAUUAAACUUAUCUUAAAUGCAGUCCAAUUUCUUGCUCAUGGUUCAAUUAAGUGUUGUCUGGUGAUAAGGGUCCAGAUUUCGGGUUUUUAUAUUUAUGGUUUCUAAAUCAUUAAAAGAAAAAUAAAAAUUGCAGAUCCUACAACUUGAGAAAAGAUUGCAAGGCCAAUUUGCAGUGCGUUGUGCUCUAGAGAAAGCACUGGGUUAUAGAUCUUCCUCACAUGAUACUACAGUUGAAAUUUCAAUGCCCAAGGUAGUUCUUGUGUUCAUUUUAUGGGAACAGAUAGGCAAAUUAUUUUGCCUGAAUUUAAUAAUGAAUUAUUUAGAUGGUUCAAUGCAUUUCUUUUUUGUUCCAAGUCUUUCAAUUUUUAUGACUAGCAUAAAAUAAUCAAAAUUGAUGUGUUUUUCCUGAAAUAUUUGUGUUCAAUAGGCUACAAAAGAAUGUUUGUCUGAUUGUGUGGAAGUUUAUGAAUCUUUGUUUUUUAAGUCUUAAACUAUGGUAUUGACUUGUUUUGCUUCAUCACCAUUAUUUCUUUGUGGUUAUAUUCUAACUUUGCUUUUAUUGCACUCCAGCCUGCUAUGGAACUAAUUAAGGAAAUUGCAGUGUUAGAAUUGGAAGUUGUGCAUUUGGAACAGUAUCUUCUUUCACUGUACCGGAAAGCAUUUGAUCAACAAGUAUUGGUACAAUCCCCUUCUGCCACAGAUGCAAGAUUAAGAUCACCUUUAACGUUCCCAAGGGGGGGAGCUCUGGAAGCUUGCAGACCUGAUAUCACAUCAAAAAGGGAAAAUUCAGCAGCUUAUCAUAGUUGUCAAUCACAUGUCAAUCCGAGGAAGGAAUCCAAUGGAAUUAGUGAAGAGAAGAUAUUGGAUUCCAGUGUUCAUCGUUGUCACUCCUCACUAUCACAGCGAUCGGCCUUUCCGACUAGAACUUCUCCUCCAGCAGAAUCUCUGACCAAAGCUAUACGUGCCUGUCAUUCCCAGCCUUUGUCCAUGAUGGAGGUAGGUAACCCAAGUUUCUUACAAUGAUCUUGCAAGUUGCAAUUGUCUUGUUAUGGAGUCUGGCUCUUCCACAUCUGCCAAUCAUGGUGCACCCAAUCAUAGUACUAGGGAUGUGAUCCUCUUCCUAUCAAUAAAUGAGGAGCAUGGUAGUAAUUUUUGUUAAAAUAAUGACAAUAUAUCUCUGAUCCAUGAUGUGGAGUGCUGUGAUUGGCAGCCCACCAGCUGUUACAACGACCAUAGGAAAAAUGCUGGUGAUGGGAAGCUGUAUUUUGGAUGUAUGGUUAUUCUGUAUUGUAACCCAGUGACUUCUGUACAGUAUGCUCAGAAUACUUCUUCAAAUGUAAUCAGUCUGGCAGAGCAUCUUGGAACCCGUAUUUCUGAUCAUGUUCCAGAGACACCUAACAGAAUUUCUGAGGAUAUGAUCAAAUGCAUGUCAGCUAUAUUUUGCAAGCUUGCAGACCCACCUCUGACACAUCAUGGCCUCUCAUCUCCCAAUUCAUCUUUGUCAUCAAUAAGUGCAUUUUCUCCACAAGAUCAUUGUGAUAUGUGGAGUCCAGGCUUCAGGAAAGAUUCAUCUUUUGAUGUCCGGUUAGAUAAUCCUUUCCAUGUUGAAGGACUUAAAGAGUUCAGUGGGCCUUACAGUACUAUGGUUGAAGUGCCAUGGAUAUAUAGAGAUAAUCAGAAACUGGGAGCUAUUGAGCACAUGUUACAAAAUUUUAGGUGCGCCUUUUGAUAUCCCCCACACCCCCACCCAAGGGGGAUCACUUAUUGAUGAUUAACUCCUAAGCACAAUUCAUUUGAUAUCUAUGUUUGCUUGCCAUCCUUAUAAGCUUGUUGAGUUAUUCAAUUACAGAUCACUUAUUUCUCGAUUAGAAGAAGUGGAUCUGAGGAAGAUGAAACAUGAGGAAAAGAUAGCGUUCUGGAUCAACAUACAUAAUGCAUUGGUGAUGCAUGUAAUGAUCCAUCUUGAUUAAACUAUGAAAUUUGCAGGGAUACCUUGUUUAAAAGUUUCUAAUGUGAAAUGAUAAUGAUAAGAGCUUCUUACUCUUUGAACAGGCAUUUUUGGCAUAUGGUAUACCGCAAACCAAUGUAAAGAGAGUGUUUCUACUAUUGAAGGUAAAAGGAGCCCCCAUGAUAUCUUUUAAUUGAGGAAAUUCUGUAUGGAUUUUAUUUUCUCAUGAUCUUGCAUAUUACAGGCUGCCUAUAAUGUUGGAGGUCAAACAAUAAGUGCAGACACAAUACAGAAUUCCAUCCUUGGAUGUCGAAUAUCUCGUCCAGGACAGGUUGGAUCCCAUGCCACUAUUCUCAGUUCAAGAUUUUAAGCUCUUAUGUAUAUUAACGUAUACUUUAAUAUCUUUUGUAUGGCCGUGUAUUUGCUUACAUAUGUGAUUCCCCUGCAUCUGAACGAGUUCAUGAAAUGCUUCUGGGCUUAAAAAUGAAUCUUGUUCAUGUCAACUGUUUCCUUGGGCAGACAUGAGAUCUUCUUUGCAUGUUAGACAAAAGUAUAGUUGUAUUCUUUGCUUCCCCAUUUUUCUUUUUUCCCGGAAUGGGUCAAAUUUAUUUCUCUUGCCAUGGUUUUUCAGAUUGAUCUAGCAAAAAUAACCAUGCAUAUGCUUUCUUAUUCAGUUUUCUAACGUCAUGUUUGUAAUGGAGCUGAUAAAGCAUGCUUCUAAUUGCAGUGGCUUCGCUUGUUACUUUCUUCAAAAACAAAAUUCAAGACUGGGGAUGAACGGCAAGUGUAUGCGAUUGAGCAUCCAGAACCUCUUUUACAUUUUGCACUCUGUUCAGGAAGUCAUUCUGACCCAGCGGUACUUCACUAUCUAUAAUCUGUUCCUUGGUCCUUUAAUUCAAUAAUUAGGUGCUUGUGAAUAUGUUGCAUUGGUGUUUUCUAUUGCUUACUGAAUACUCCUCUUGAUUUGACAAAACUGCUGAAUAACCAAUCUGAUCAGGAAUCCUUUUGAAAAUUGGAAAGAAUGCAACUAUAAUUUAAGUUUGUUUCCAUUUGCAUCUAUCCUUUACACUCUCAUCUUCCCUAGGGGGAGACCCGUGGUACUGCAAUAUCUGCAGUAUGCUUUUGGUUUUUCCUGCUCAAUAGUUUCCUUGACUGUUUGACAGUAUUCCGAGGAUAUCAAUAAUUUCCUGCUAAAUUAAGGGUUUAGCUUUGUAUAUCCUAGUUUGUGAAUUAGGUCAACUCUUUAUGCUAAUCAUCUUCGAUCAUCUUCAGUUUCACUUAAUGCUGGUUUGCUGAUAAAAUAUUGACUAUCCAUGUUUGGGUGGUGUUUGGAUGUUCAUUGGCAUUGUUGGCCUAGUAUUUGCUCAUGUUGAUGCUGUAGCAUAGAGAAAUCAGCAUAAUCAUUGGAAGAAAUAAUGAUGCAUCAAUCAACCAAGUAUUGAGCUGGCUUCAAACAUGUUAGGGAGCGCUAAUAUAUGCUCAUCCUGAAGCAGUAAAGACACUGUGCAACCACAAUCAAUUCAAUAACCCUGGGACAAUGGGACAUUUGACUUUUCCUUAGUACCUCUGGUAACAUCUAAUUUGAGGUUUGUGAAGCACCCCUCUUUUCUUCCGAACAUAGGGCUAAUUUACAAUCUUGAACAGGAGUUUCUAUCUGAUCAGAAAUAGGAUUUACUGUACCGCCUUUACAAGGUUGUGCAUGGAAGUGGUCUUAAAAAACUGCAAAGACUCUUUCUUUUAUAAUGGGCAUAUUUUUUGGAGGCAAGUCUUUUAAAGUGGUUGAAUGUCUUUCAAUAGAGGAAGAAUUAUAGUUAAUAGCCAAGUUAAAACUUUGCAAAAUUAGUAGAUUAAAUGAUAUCAGAGCCAUCCAGCUCUGAAGAAUGUUUUCUGUUGUGAACAUGACAACAGAGGUGCUAUUGAGACGGUUUUUGGGUGUUCAACUUGUGUCUCGUGGAGUUUCUGUGUAAGGGUAUUAGAUGUGUUGAUCGAUUUGCUGCCCUCCUCUCUUCCUUUUUCACCCCUUGCUCUCAGCAAUAAUGUGGUUUCUUCCUUUGGACCAAAACAAGUAAAAAUUUAGGCACAUAAUUUAAACACAAAAUAUAAAUAACCAAGCAACACAACAUAACUGGAUGCAAGAUUCAAAUAAUGACUAUAGAACAUCCUAUUUACUCUUUACUUUUUCUUUGCCAACACUUGUAUUUUUAAUCCUUUUCAGGUUCGUGUCUACACACCUAAGAGAGUACUUCAAGAGUUGGAAUCUGCAAAAGAAGAGUAUAUUCGGGCUACCUUUGGUGUGCGCAAAGACCACAAAAUCCUUUUACCAAAGGUUGUCGAGUCAUUUGCAAAGGACUCACAAUUGUGCCCAGCUGGUGUCAUGGAGAUGAUCCAACAGUCUCUGCCUGAGUCUCUGAGGAAGAGUGUCAAGAAAUGUCCAGCAGGGAAAUCCCGCAAGAACAUUGAAUGGAUCCCUCACAAUUUCUCUUUUAGGUAUCUGAUAUCAAAAGAACUGGUCAAAUGAUUGCUCUAACAGGUCAAUGCCCUAAUACUCAACCUCAUCUGCAUUGUUCCUUAGAUUUUAAAUAUUGGAAAGUUUUUUUGUCUUUCCAUUGUACAAACAAAAUAGAGUAGUGAAACCAGAAAUUGGAGANNNNNNNNNNNNNNNNNNNNNNNNNNNNNNNNNNNNNNNNNNNNNNNAGUUGGAAGCCACCACUUUUUCAAACUGGCCUCUCAGGUACUUGCACUGCCCCAAACCACAUUCCUUCCCCGGUAAUAUCCCAGCUCCAGCUGAGAUCGUCCGCAUUGUCCCCAACAGCAGCGUAUCCUUUCCUGUCACCUCUCUCCUCAUGGCAUACCCCAUUUUCUGUCCAUUGUAGUGCAUUGCCCACGUAGCUGCACUCAAGAAAGGCUCAUUCGAUCUGUCCAAGCCGAGGUCACACUGGAGAACGAUACGGGCAGUACCACACUGCAUUAGACCCGCUAACUCGGACAUGUUAAUAGGAAGAUCAAGGAUGAUCAAAGGGAAGCUGUCGACAUCUUCCUGAAUGCAGAGCUUCACUUUGCUAUUGAUUGAGCAUAUGAUGGUUCCAGUUACAGUGAAAAUUUCAGGUUUGCAUGUGGAGAAGAGUGGGGGAUAGCAGGAGGCCCAGCAGGGAGCAACGAGGGCCAUGAUGGGGCGGAGUAAAUCCCACCACCGCAGCUGCGGCUUGGUAUCAAUGGCAGCUUGGGAAGAAUCAGCAUUCAUGAUUGUUGUUGUGAAGCAACAAUGUGCGUAGGCUAAGGGGGAGAGAGAGUUGAUAAGGAUUAGGAGAAAGUAGAGUCCCAAAAGGAAAUGAGCGCCCAACCGUAUCUUCUGGUUGUUGAAAUAUUUUAGGAGAGUUUGUUAGACACUCGUAUCCAUACAGUUGACAACACAACCUAUGCCCCUCAUCAUGUAUUAGUAUUACCACUCAAAUCCUUCUUACCUCUUUCUCCUAAUCUUUUACACGGCACCUACAAUGAGGCCGCCCGCCCACAGUAUUUUUGGGAAUUCAAUCUUUUUCCUCUUCCAUCUGUGUUCAUAAUUCUCCAUGGGCUGAGGCAAUGUGUAUAAAGUUACUAUGCCUUGAGUAAGAUUAGAGUCCAAAAAGAGCAUUUAUAAGAAGAGUUGGACUGAGUGGGUCUUGAAAAAAGAAAAGAAAAUAAAGGGGAAUUAAACAAGUACAUAUGAAAGCAUUUCAUUUGGCUCAAGUACUGCGGAAAAAUUAUAGGGAUAGAGAAUUAGAAUUUCAAAUGGUUUGGGCCUCUGGAAACUUCAAUUUUUUAAAAAGAUUUUAUAUUUUAAAUUAAAAAUUAUUUACGAAAAUUGUCCUAUUAAAAUUUAAAUUCUUUUCCAAAUUUCUUAAAACAUUUAGAAAGAAUUUCUUUUUUAAAAUUUCGUUUAAAAUUAAUUUUAUUUCUAUUUUUUAUAAAUCCACUUUAAGCCUUUUGCGCCAUUGUUUUCAAAUAGGGUAUUUUUAUCCACUUAAAAACAAAAUCGCUUUCUCUUAUAUAUCAACAAAGACCCACAAAAAGAUUUUUUCUAAAUAAAAUAAAAAAAUCCCACCCUCCCAAUCUACUAAAAAAAAAAAAUCUAUAUCUCAAAUGUCAAUAAAACCCAAAAACUAUUUUUUAAAAUAUCCUUGUCUCCCACUUGAAAAAGAUCUGUAAGGAGGCACUUGCAAUUGGUGGAGGAGAAGAUAACUAUAAUUCUGGAUCUCCAUCCCUAUCUCUCACGCAGAAAUCUAAACGCUUUGUUUGGUCACAAGGAAACUGUUAGGCUCCUCUAUCUGCAGUUUGUAGUAUUGAUGAUGAGGAAUGAUCAAGACAAUCAAAGCUUUAAAAAUCACGUCAAGAAAAGCGCCUACAAUAUAUAUAACUUCAAUUUGAAGGCUAAAGAAAAGAGGCACUAGUAGGGGCUCUCUCCUAUGACAUUUCCAGGAGGAUUGUAGAAACAUAUGGUUAAACUAGCAUCUUCCUUCGCGCACACAGCUUUGGCACACCCCAACUCCAGCGAUUUCCUCCAUACCACCUGUGUGUACACCCCACACUCAUGAUUGGCCACACAGGAGUUGUCAGAAUGGUUGUAAUACUUCUUCUCUCCCACCCACUCCUCAACGGCCAGCCGCGCCGUCAUUCCUGAUCCACUUGCCCACAACUGGUUCCCUCCAUACUUGCUAUUGCUNNNNNNNNNNNNNNNNNNNNNNNNNNNNNNNNNNNNNNNNNNNNNNNNNNNNNNNNNNNNNNNNNNNNNNNNNNNNNNNNNNNNNNNNNNNNNNNNNNNNNNNNNNNNNNNNNNNNNNNNNNNNNNNNNNNNNNNNNNNNNNNNNNNNNNNNNNNNNNNNNNNNNNNNNNNNNNNNNNNNNNNNNNNNNNNNNNNNNNNNNNNNNNNNNNNNNNNNNNNNNNNNNNNNNNNNNNNNNNNNNNNNNNNNNNNNNNNNNNNNNNNNNNNNNNNNNNNNNNNNNNNNNNNNNNNNNNNNNNNNNNNNNNNNNNNNNNNNNNNNNNNNNNNNNNNNNNNNNNNNNNNNNNNNNNNNNNNNNNNNNNNNNNNNNNNNNNNNNNNNNNNNNNNNNNNNNNNNNNNNNNNNNNNNNNNNNNNNNNNNNNNNNNNNNNNNNNNNNNNNNNNNNNNNNNNNNNNNNNNNNNNNNNNNNNNNNNNNNNNNNNNNNNNNNNNNNNNNNNNNNNNNNNNNNNGAGCGGAAUCAGUAAAUUCGUACAACCGAAGGAUCAGAGGGUAAUGGUGGGGAUGGAUGCUUUAGCUGCAAUUUAAUGCUCUGUUUCCUAAGAUCACUCUGAGUAGGGAACACGUGACCUUGUUGACUUUGAUUUAAGAGACUGUGCCCACGUGAACUCUGCACAUGGAAGCAGAGUUGGGCAGCUUGGUGGAUUGGAUUUGCCAAUAAUUUAAUAUUAGUAGAAUGGUCGGAUCCCUUCAUGUUUCCGGGAGUAAACAGUCAAAAUGAAUUGGAGUAAUACUAGUCUCUAUGCAUUCUAUUCGUUAAUGCAACAUUUUUCUGGCUAAUGCACCUUGACUUUCUCAAUAUUCCAUAAUUACCUUCUAUUGUGCUAUCAGCCCUCCCACCCUAAAUUGAACCAAACCCAAGUCAACUUCUAGGGAAACCAGACAACUAUGGAUAUGCGGGAGAUUUGCUUCAGGUACCAUGGGUUUUGCAGCAGGGGUGGAUCUUGGGAGAUGGGGCAGGGACAAAGGAAGGGUUUGAUAAAUCAAGACUGUAAUAUCGAGUUUGAGAUUUCUCAAAUUAUUAAUCAAAUGAUAAAAAAGAAUAGUGAAGAUGUACGUGUUAAAUGAGAGAAAUUUUGAAAAAUUCAAUCAAAAGUUAAUAAUUUGAAAAUUUUGUCAUGUUAAAGGGUGAAAAUUUUAAAAAUAGAAAAAAAAAUUAAAUUUAGAGAGAAAUUUAGUUAUUAAAUGAUUUGAUAUUGGAUUUUCAAGAAUUGGAAAGUGAAUAUAUAGUUCAAAAUUAAUUGAGUUUAAUACUAAGAAAAGUCAAAUUCAAUUUUUGUAGUUGGAAUUAAACCUUAUGAAAUUACAAAAGAUGAAAUGGAAUUAAACUGAUAUUAAGUUGAGAUUAAAUUUGUUGAAAAAUAAUUGACAAAUGGUAUGAAAUAAAUUAAUAUAACCAUAAAGGGCUAAGAAUUUAAUUAGUUGGUAAAUAUUAUAGGUGUAUAAUGUGAUAUUUUUCGGAAUUAAAUUUGAUUUUCAAAUGAAAAAAUUAAAGAUAUAAAUAAAAUAAGAUGAAAUAAAAUUGAAGGAAAUUAUAAGCCUUUAUAUGUAUAUAUGUGGAGACAGAGUAAGAAGGACACGUGGACGACAAGAGGAGAGUUGGAGAAGGGGGAAAAAGAAGAGGAGAGUUUAGGUGUUGGUGGAUCUUGCAGAAUUUGUUUUAUAAAUCAAACGUGAUUUCAUUCUAAGUGAAAAGAUUUUGGAUGGACGGUUGGAUUUUCGGAUUUUGAUACGGUAGUUUGUUUCUAAAACUUUCAUGGUAGAAUUUUUUUCUUAUUAUUUGUGGAAGUUAUAUCUACUUAGUAUAAUGAUGCUUUGCAGACGUGUAUGGUUGUUGUUUUACUUAUUUAUUUUUUAUUAUAUAAAUUUUUAAUUUUUUUUAGUGAAAAAUUAUAUUGGAAAUUAUAAUGACACAAUUCAUGUGAAUGAAGGAGAAAUAUAAAGGGAGAAUUACCAAAAAGGGUGGGCCGAGAAAAUAAUGAGUAUGAAAGCUCACUCUUUUAAAGGAUAAUUUUAUCCUUAAAUAUGUUUUCUAUAUUAUUUAUAAAUAAAUUAAGAUUAUCAAUUAUGUGGGGUUCAUACAUGAUGAUAAGUAUAGGUUGAUAAAUGAUGUGGGACCCAUACAUGAUGAUAAGUACAAGUUAAUAGGUAAUCAACGAUACAUUUUUCAGCUUGAAAAAAUUGUUGUCACUUUUGAACAAUUGAUUGUUUAAAAAUUUGCUAUUUUUUUUUCAAAAAAAUUGAGAUUUUUUAAACAACCUUGUAAAAUUUUUUUUUUUAAUAUCUCAUAAAUAAAAGUCAUAUCCUAAAGUUAUUAUAUCGUUUUAUAGAUAAAACAUACAAUUAAAAACUUUGUUAUCAUAAUAUAAUGAAUAAUUAUUUUUUAUUAUCACUCAUCAAUUUAAUAAUAUAUAAAUAUUCAAUUGACUAACACACACCAAUUAAAUGGAAUAACUCACAAUUAUUCAUUGGGUAAUAUAGCACAUGAAAAAAAUUAAAUAAAAUUAAAUUAAAUUAUGUUGUAAUAUGUUGUAAUGAUAGUGUAUUUAUAUUGUAAGUGUAAUACAUUUAUGUCGUACCUAUAUUUCAUUACAAAAGUAAUAAUUCUAAAAAUGUUUAUUCAUACCCUAUUGGUAUUAACACAUCGUAUUAAUAUAUUAACAAUAUUUAUUUAGUGUAUUGAAAUUAUUUAAUAAUUUUGUAUAUAUAUAUAUAUAAACUACGUAAAUUCAAAUUAGUAUUUCAUUUUAUUUCAGAAAUUAUUUAUGAUAUAAGUAUGUUGUGAAAUAUGGUAUGAUCAUACAAAAUUACCAUUUUUGUAAAAAAUUUCAUAAAUUUCUUAAUUAGAUUUUAUUGUAAUGUAAGUGUAUUUAUAUUAUAAUUAUAACAUAUUUUUGUUGUGCCUGUAUUUUAUAAUAAAAGUAAUAAUCUUGAGAUCGGAUCACCUUUUAUACCUUAUUAAUAUUCAACAUAUCAAUAUAUUAACAUCAUCCACUCAAUGCAUUGAGAAAAAAAUUAUAUGAAAUUAAAAAAAAAAAAAAAACUAUGCAAAGGAAAAAAAAAUCNNNNNNNNNNNNNNNNNNNNNNNNNNNNNNNNNNNNNNNNNNNNNNNNNNNNNNNNNNNNNNNNNNNNNNNNNNNNNNNNNNNNNNNNNNNNNNNNNNNNNNNNNNNNNNNNNNNNNNNNNNNNNNNNNNNNNNNNNNNNNNNNNNNNNNNNNNNNNNNNNNNNNNNNNNNNNNNNNNNNNNNNNNNNNNNNNNNNNNNNNNNNAAUCAAGUGAAGUGCUUUAAAUGCUUGAAUUUUAAAAGUUUUAUUUAAAGGGCAGUUUUGGUAUAUUAAGCCUAUUAAAGUCCUCUCCAAGAAUUAUUAAAAGAUACCACCCUUUCUAGUAAUUGUUCUACCCAGCCUACCCUUUUGGAUAAUUCUCCCAAAUAUAAAUUGUGCUAGGAAGAUAAAAUUGAAAUUUAUUAGUGAUAUAUUAAUGUUGAAAACAAUGGAAAUUAAUUGUUUUAUAUUAUUAGGUAUUAUUAUUUGAGUUGAGUUUCUGUAAUAAUAUUUUUUUGCAUUCAUUUUGUAUUCAUGUUUAUAUAUAUAUAUAUAUUGUGAAACCAGGGUUUGGUUAAUCUUGAUUUUGAUGAUAACAAAAUAAGGUUUAGAACUAAUGAUCAUAUUUCAAGUGUGAUUAGACAAGACGACUUCCAAAGUGGCAAUCCAAAGACAAAUCAAGCCAAGGAAAAAUCAUGAAGAAGAAGACCACCUCAAAGAGAAGAGUUUUUCAAGACCAAAGCUUCUUAAGAUCUCUUUAUAAGGUUGUUGGUGCACUAGGACUUUCAUGCAUUUCAUUCUUUAUUUAUGCACCAAAAUCAUCCAAGAGUAAUAUUGUUUUAAAUAUCUUAAGAAUUGAAUGAUUUCAUGUUUUCAACUAAAAUCUUGUGUUAAAUGAUUUUCAAACUUGUGUUAAAAGGUUUUAAGUUGAAAAAUGUUGAGUGUUGAGCCAAAAAAAUGGCUCAACCGGAUCAACCGGUCAACCGAUUGUGCUCGUCCAGUCGAGAACCGGUUGAGGGAGGCCAAAAAGUUUCUCUCUCUCCCAGUGGCCUUCUCUUCCCGGUCAAGGUUGAACCUCAACCGAUUGAGGUCCGGUUGAGGCCCAACGGUCACUUUUCCUAACGGCUAGUCAACCGGUCUAACCCUCAAUGGCUAGUUUGACUUUUUUCUUCUAUAAAAAGGCUCCAAACUUCAUUGUUUCAUAAGUUAAACCUUCCAAAAUCUUUCUUGAUUAUAUUUGAGCCUUGGAAGAGUAUUUUUGAGUGCAUCAUUAUUCCAAAACUUGCAUAUCUUUAGUGCACCAUUCAAUCCUAGUUUUUCUUGUAUCAUUUGAACUUAAAGUUCUUGUGUUAAGAUUUUUGAGAGAUCAUUUUAUUUGUAAAUCUUUGAGAGGAAUUUUCUCAAGUGAGGGGUAACACUUGAGAGGUUGUUCAAGAGUAGGAUAACUCUUGAGAAGUGCAAAGGGUGCUUGGAGCCAAAAGUCCAAGAGGGUGAAUUGGAACCAUAAUCCAAUUGUAAAGAGAUUGGAAGCUUGGUUGAAACUUCAAGAUAGUGGAACCCUCACUCGGUUAGGAGGUUGAGGAGAGUGGACGUAGGUAAGGAAGUGCCGAACCACUAUAAACUCUCGUGUUUGCACUAUCUCUUCCCUACCUCUUUUAAAUUAUAUGCAAUUGUAUUUAUUUUGUUUAUUAUAUAUUUGCAUAUAAUUGUCUCUUAUUUUUGCAUAGUUUAAAUUUGUGAAAAAGAGACCAUCACCCUAUUUACAUUAUAUAUGCAUUUGGAUAAAUUUUUUAUAUAAAUUGAUGAAAUGACAUCACUUGUAUGUUUAAAUAUAUUAUUAAAGAAAAAAAUGAUUUAUUUAUUUUGUAUAAUAAAAUUAGAAAGUUUGAUAUGAUAUGUAUGAUUAAAAAAAAUGAUAAUCUAGAUUGAUUUAAUUUUGUAUGUUGAAAUUUCAUUUAAUGUAUACAGUGUAAAUGUAAUAUUAUUAUAUUUUUGGUAUAUGAUGGUAUUGUAUUCAUGUAAAAUUUUUUACUCUUUUAAGUGCAAGACAGUAUACCUUGCAAUGUGGAGAUGAUUAUCUAUUUUUUUUUACCAGUUUUUCCUUAAAAAAUUUUAGAUGUAAAUAUAGUUUAUAAGAACCACAAGAAAACUGGGGAGAGUUCUAAUAAGUCCCAUAAAGUGAAAGAACAACUUAAAUGAUUGGUUUUAACCUAUAUUAAUUUUUUUGGUAUGUGCUAAUUUGAAUUAUAUGGAUUUGUAUAUAUAUAUAUAAUCAUAUGGUAAAUUGUAGUUUAAUAAACUUAUUUGAAAUUAGAUUUCAAUUUAUUUAAGAAAAAUCAUGUUAUUAUGGUUGUUAGCUUGGAUAAGGGUAAUCCUUAAGGUUAAACCUUUGACUUGGGGUCACAAGUCAAAUUCGAGUCAUGACAAUGUAGUAUUAGAGCUCUAGGUUGGUUGCGACAAUACGUAAGCUUAUAUUAGUAUGUUUGAUUUAUGGUUGUUUAGUUGUGACUCUAGUACUUGUAGUGAGAUUGUUAGGAUAAUAAGAUUUGUACGACUUUAGAGAAUGACAUACCCAUUCUAAUGGGAGAUUCAUUAUAACACACACACACACACACACACACACACACACACACACACACAUUUGUGACUAUUAGAGGGCAUGGUUGAACGGAUCCUUGCUUCAACAUUUUGCGAGCCCUCAUAAACUACUUUAAAGUCUACUUUAUACCCUUGAACCUAGGGCUAUAUCAUAAAGUAAGGAAGAUGUUGUUACUUUAACAUGCAACCCAAGGAUCAUGAUUAAUAUGUCCAACAUAACAUGUUAGGAAAGCGGUCAAAUCUAAAUGGAUUAACAUGGGUGGUUAGGGAAAAAUGCUAAUAACACACCACUAUUUGUAGCUCAUAAUCUAGCAAUCAUAUUAACUUUGUGUUCAAUAUAAUUAUGAGUACAAAUGUGUAUAUAAAUUGGGGUUACAUUUUUUAAUUGAGAUAUGAAUCAUUGAGGGGUUUUUAAAAGUGUUUGAAUUAGUGUGAUUGAUAAGUCUAAGGUAUAAACAAGAUAUUUUUUUAGUGAUGUGUUAUGUUAGUGAAAUAGGCACUUAACAUAAGCACUCCAAUUUUAUGUUAUAUGCUCCAUUUUCUAUAUGAAGAAAAUGACCCCAAUGUAAGAUAGAAAAAAGAUAUAGACAUUUUAUCCAAUGUGGAUAAUUAAGAGAUAUUAGAAUUUAAAUAUAUAUUUUAAAAAUUCAUUGUGAAUGUGUAUGUCAUACAACAAGGACGUUGUGUCUGCAUAGUAGGGUGUAUAUGAUAUUCCAUAUUGGAUAGGAGAAAAAAUUUCUUACACUAUAUAAGUAUGGACUCUUCUUAAUUUUGUAGACUCAUUUUAAAGUCGUAAGAGCUCCUUAGGUCUAAAAAGGAUAAUAUCUACAUGGUUGAGUAUGAGUCAUUAUAAAUAGUAUCAAAACCGAUUUUCGACCCUGGUGUGAGAGUUUGUACAUUUGAUCUCGCGAAAGGUGUUUGUUUGUUUGUUUUCGUAAUCCCAUGAAAUACAAUAAGGAUGUUAUGUCUUUAUUUGUUGGAGGAGGAGGAGGAGGAGGAGGGGGGAGGAGGGGCGUGAUUAUGAUGUCCCACAUCAGAUAGAAGAGAAAGUUUCUAACGCUAUACAUGUAUGAGCUCCUUUUAAAUUUAUAAACGUGUUUUAAAGUUGUGAAAACUCUUUUGGGUUCAAAGCGGACAAUAUUUACAUGGUUGAAUGUAGGUAAUUAUAAAUAGUAUCAAAGCCGAUCCUUGACCUUAGUGUGAGGGUUUGUUUGGCCUGGUGAGAGGUAUUUGUUUGUUUAGACUCGUAAUCCACUUGGACACAAUAAGGACGUUGUGUCAGCAUGAAGAAGUGUUUGUGAUGUCAUACAUCAGAUAGAGGUGAAAGUUUUUGACGCUAUAUAAGUGUUAGUUUCUCUUAACUAUGUUGACGUGUUUUAAAGCCGUGAGAAUACCUUUAAAUUUGGAAUGAACAAUAUUUACAUGAUUGGAUAUAGGUUGUUACAACAUCACUGCACAAAUUCAUGAUUGCACAUGGAUUAUAAGAUCGAGUAACUGUCAAAAAAAUAAAAUGGAAGAGUUGAUAAACAUUUUGUGAUGAAAUGAUUAUAAAUAAAAUCACCAAGUGCAUAACUGUUGUCAUGUGAUUGUUGAAAUAUUAUAGAAUAUAUGACCAUUAAUCUUUUAUGAAUUACCUUGUGAAUACCAGGCUAACCAGAGAAGCACAUUACAAGCAUGAUCCUUAGGCUAGUUUAUUGCUUAUCUAUCAUUCUUUGGCUUGUUUGUCCAACAUAUUUGUAUACAUGCAAUAUUAUAGGAUAAGGGUUCUCUUCUAUAAUCAUAUAGUUUAACUGGCCAUCAUAUAUGUAUAUACAUAUAUAUGGCAUGGCAUUUGAAGACAGAAUUAUUUAAAAUAUGUUACUAUCCAAGGGGAGAGAGUUAGGGGCUCUCCCCUAUGAUCAUAUAUAUAUAUAUAUAUAUAUAUAUGAUUAUCUCCUAGUAGGGGCUCUGCCCGUAGUAAUUUCCAGGAGGAUUGUAGAAACAUACGGUCAAACUGGCAGUGACAUUCCCGCAUACAGCCAUCGCACACCCCAACUCCAGCGACUUCCUCCACACUACCUGUGUGUAUGACCCACACGUAUGAUUUUGCGCACACGAGUUGGCAGGAUGGUUGUAGUACUUCUUCUGUUCCACCCACGACUCCACCACCAGGCGCGGGCUCAUUAUCCCUCCGCCUACCCGAAGCUGGUUCGCUCCAUAUUGACCUCUCUUCAGGUUUGCAAAUUCGCAACCUUGGUUAUCUCUUUGAUAACGAACCAAUAGGCUCGUCUCAUGGGCCAGCUGCUCACUCCAUUGGAGAGGACCCACCCCCACUUGGGCUCUUGCUUGGUUGUGCGCGUCUAGGUACUCUUGGGUUGGAUUCGGUGCUCUCUUUGCUACACCAUGGACUGAGAAGUGGGAUAUGACUAGAGCCACAAAUGCAACAGAAACCAAACCUUCAAUCAUUUUUGCGACUAGUAUGGGGUGUGGUCAAGUGUUUGAUUGGAGUCCCUUAUUUAUACACAAGAUUGGGUUGUGUUGGGUUGGGUUGGGUUGGCUGACUUUACCAAUGUGUCCUUGAUAAAGGUCGAUUGCACAAAUUGGAGGGUUUAUUUCAUCGAAUUAAUUGUGCAGCGUGGGUUAAAGAUCAGAUUGUACUGCUAGGAAUGGUGGGUGGACAUGGUGUGUCUCUGUGUAUUUUAAUGCUUUUAUCCUAAAAUCUGGAAGCCUGGUUACUCCUUUAUCAAAGAACCUGACCUUGUUCACUUAGAUUGGUAAGGAGAUUAUGCUCACUUAUUAUGUCUUUACUCAGCACAUGGGGUCAGAGCUGGACAGGGCAGGUUGGUGGAUUCACUAAAAUUUGUCAAUAAUAAUUAUAAUGGUUAAACCCCCAUUCCCUCAGUCUAGCUGAUUGGAAGGGCUUAAGAUUAUGAAGAGAAAAUGGAUUGGUUUUGGGUUCAGAUAGUUUCUUCAAUCCUUCAUUUUUGUUGUGCUCUAAAUCUACUUGCAGCAUCACCAGAGACUCCAAACCAAAGCUGAAAUGAUGAUUUUUCAUGUUGACUAGGUUACUGAUGAAGACGUGCUAUGUGAAUUUUGUUUGACUAUGAAUUCUCCCUUUUAUUUCGUCAGUUUUUGAGUUAGUUCUUGGAGAGUGAGAUCGAUUUUGGAAACCUCAACUUGAAUGAGUUGCAUGUGCGAUAAAGCCAAACGCAUUACUGAUGAAUUAAGAACAGUGAACAGGCUUUUAAUGAUAAGCAGCAUGGUCAUUUGCCCACCAGCUCAAAUUGAUAGAGGUUAAAGUUAGCUUUUUGGUGUUGGGGGAAUUGGAUUACUAAGAGAACAUAUGAAAAAGACUUGUCCAAAAAACCAAAAAAUGUAGUAAUGUCAUCACACCCAAGGCAGAAGUCAGUUUUUGUGGUAGAUGGGGAUUUGCCUUGUUCUUGAUUUAAUAUUUUGCAAACAUUCCUAUUAUUGAAUUCACCCAAUAGUUUAUGGGAAUAUUCAUUGCCAAAAUCACUUAAUAGUUGAGUAAUCACCCCCUAAAACCGAUUAUGUAAUAUACUUUUAUUUGCUGGGUUAUAGGAAGGCAUUUUGGCUGAGAUUUCUAUUAGAUCAAUUUAUUAUUGUGUGGUUUUUGUUGAAUCAUAUAAUCGAAAGGAACUAUGUGUGAUUUUUAUUGAAGCAUAUACUUGAGAGGCAAGUACAAAGCCGACAAUUUCCAAGCCGACAAUUCCCAAGCAAACCCCAAUUUCAUUAGAUGGAGAAGAUCACCAAGAUUGAUUUGUCUAACUUAGUCCAAUUCUAAGAUCUCCAAUAUAAUCCAUAUAUUAAAAUCAUUUGAUUUCCUACAUAUAUAUAUUACCUCCAUCAAGUUUAAACCUUCCAUUAUAGUAUGUAAAACUACUCAUAAGUAGGAUUGAAGAAUUUCUUUUUUCAUCAAAUCUGUUAAUUAGGGGAGCAUUUAUAAAAAUUUAAAACCAUAAAUUACAGAGCUUCAGCCAUUAUUCACUCUAUUGCAGCUAAUGGCAUAGCUGAUCAAUUUUAAGGACAGGGGGCACGGUUGUGAAGAAGUGAUAAGCUCGGUUGGAGGCCCCAUAAAAGGGUCUGCACAGGCCCAUAUGUGGCGGAGUGGAAUCUUAAUAGAAAGAAGAUGAUUUUUGUGUAAAAGUCAUUUAUGCUUUAGCUGAGUAUAUAAUCCAUUUGUUUUAAAUUUUGAAAAAUAUGCUUUAUUAGAAUGUUUUGAGGGGCAACCUUUUGAUUUUAAGUGGGAAUUGUCUUCAUUUUUUGGAAUUUGCCCCUGUGCUUGCAAAGGAAAUUGGGUAGUGGCUCCAUCAGUGAGAGCAAUGCACUAAGUAAUUUGUUCUGUUUUUUUGCAUCAGAUCAAUUUAUCCAAAUAAUCGUUUUCAUUUUUCAACAGGAGUAAAUCAUGAAUCAAAUGGAUUUGUAACAGGACCCCAUCAAACAUUGAAUUCUAAACCCAUAAUUGAGACUUCGGUUUCUACACCACAGGCCAAGCAACCCAAACCUCUUUUAACCUGUACUUCGGUCUUGAGAUUGUACAAUUUUGUCGAUAUUAAGGUCCCAAUCUUCGGUGGGCACGCUCACCAAUCAGGGUCCGUCUUUUCAACCAGCUGGACUCUGACACCCAGUGCCCGUCCUCGGCAACUGUGCUUACACCGUACAGUACCAGAGUCAUCUGAGAGUGAAGGAUGAUCGUUUACCAAGAGUAGAGCUGGCCUUGAUGGCGAGAGCACACAGGUCAGAAAGGGACAAUGGGAUGCGGGCCCGAGAAAUCGGCAUGAGGAAGUAAAUCUGACCUGGCUGUAACAGCUCCUCCUCAGGUAACUGGGGCACGCAUGACCCAAUGAACAUGGACUCCGAGUUGCAGAUAAAGCAGCCCGGAUUCUGGGAGGUGAUGUUUCUCGCUCUGAUGGGCUGCUUGAACUCUUGUAUCUGAUCACCGUCCACAUGGAUGACCCUGGCCUUGGCCUUCACACCAUCUCCUCCUCCGCGUCCUCCACCAUAUGCCUUGAGAGUCUUUGUAUUUUGAGUGGAAGAACAAGCACCCAUGUCACAAGUCAAUGUCACUCUGUGUGCGUUUGUGUGUGGAGAAAGAAGUUUAAUUUAAAAAGAAGGGCUAUAGGCAUAAAAUCUAUUCCUAAUAUGAGGAAAAAGGAGGGAGUCCUCAUUCCUCACCUCGAUGGAUACGAGUGUUGGAGUCACGCUAAUUUAAGGAAAGGUAGGCAUAAGAAUAAUGGAUUAUGAUUUGAGCCAUCUCAGGCAAAAGGAUAAGGGAGCACUAGCUUUAUCGUAUUUUUCACGGAGUAUGCAAUGCCAUAUCAUCCUUCUUAAAUAUUUAUCUUUGGAUGAUUGUAAUCAUUAAUGGUAUUAAAAUUUUCAAAUUAAUAUAUUUCAAACAAGGAAGCUCUAAAACAUGGGAUAGAUAAAUUUGUAUGAUUUGUCGGUGAUGUGUGGCCAGCAGAAAUCUGUAAUUCACAUCACUUGCCUGCAAGGCAUUAGCCAAUUGAGGAAUCAAAGUCUACAAAUCCUAAAACAUUGGCUAUGGAGGAGGACCCAGUUAUAUUACCUUAGCAGGGUACCCAUCCAGCACAAGAGUUGCUGUUUCAAAUUCAAUGUAAGGAAUUUNNNNNNNNNNNNNNNNNNNNNNNNNNNNNNNNNNNNNNNNNNNNNNNNNNNNNNNNNNNNNNNNNNNNNNNNNNNNNNNNNNNNNNNNNNNNNNNNNNNNAAACAUAUAUUGACAAUGAUGUGCUCUUAUGCUCUCUCUAUCACCGUCUUCUUCAUUUCUAACUGUAAGGAGAGAGUUUAUAUGAACCACAUUCUCGAUUUGACCAUCGCAUUCAAACAGCUUUCAGCUCAUGGUCUUUGAAAAUUCGAAAUUAAAAUCCCUCAAGGUGCAGAUACGUCCAGCCAAGAUUUAAAUAUGCCCUUGCUUGUGGCUCUUCCGAGGGGUUGAAACUGGUCAAGAAGGUGCAGACAAGUUCGCUUACUAAAGUCUCUCUGUAAUUGUAAGUACCUGAAAUUGAACCAAAAUAAUUUUCAUAUGACAACCCAAUUCCAUUUAAAUACUUGGAGUAUAUUGUGAAGAAAAUGGAAGGAAAUUUCAUGACCUUUUGAACAGAACCCUGUCGAUGAGAACAAUGGACCAGAUUGCAUGUGCUUCAAAGAAAGGUCCAAGGUCAAAAUGGGCAACAGAAGACCCAGUGUUCAGAUUCCCUCCUUUUUUUUUUUUUUUUUCCCCCCUUUUUCCUCGUCCUAGGAAUAUUAAAUUUAUUACAUCUGUCUUCUUCUAAUUCCAUGCCCAGGAAACAGCCCCUCACGACUUUCAUUUAUGGACUAAACAUUGGAUAGUCGAUCCAUCUAUGAUGAAAGAUAAUCAGGAAAACCCCUUUACACGGUCAGAUCAACAGGUGUUUGUUGAAAAUAGGUUGCCGUAGACACUAUUUGGCUGAGGCAAUUGCUUUCAUGAGCUUGGACCAGUUCAUACGAAAAAAUCUCUGGUCUUUAUUCUCUAAGACAUCAAUAAUUGGCGGCCAUGUUCAUAGUACUUAUCUGGUGGUAAAUAAUACUGGAGUGAGACUAGGGUCCCUGGAAUAAAAAAGGGUUAUAAUGACAGCAUAAUAAAGCACAAAAAAAAACAAACUUGAUUUGAUGAGAGAUAUUCCAUGAGUUUGCAAGUGAAAAAGAUAAAAAUGUUGACGUGGUUGUCAACCAAAAAAGCUUGAUUGAUCGAGUGUGGCCAAUGAGGAAGAAAUAGGUGCAAGAAAGCUUUGCUGAUAAAGCCUUGGGUGAAGGGGGGAAGAAGUUAAUUAUGGGAGACCUGUUCAUGGACCGACACCAUGAGUCGGCAUUCGUACUUGUUUUGGCUCAUAGAGUUGGGCCUCACAGCAUUGUGGCCAUGCACAGUAAAUAUGUCUCGCUCUCGAGCAAUAUCCUCAGAAAACCAGAUUCAUGUGUUUGUAGAGGGACUACAUCCACGUGUUCAUAGUUCCCAAAUGUCUUAAGAAAACUAAACUGAAAGAGAAGUUUGGUUAACAUCAUGUAGGACCCCUAAUGUUAUGGGCAGUGCAGAGGAAUUCAAGAUGGCCGGCCUAUCAUUGCAGCCAUGGGCACAUGCAUUUAGAAAAAUCUACCAGAACAUUCUGGCUAAAGAUUGGCUAGUUAGUUGGGCCACAGGUCAUUUGAUAAUUCCAUGAAUGAUAUUUAAUUCACAAGCAUUCCAAAAGGUAGAGAAAUGAUUGCUACUUUGCCCUAUGUAUUUUCUCUUCUUUUCUUUUGGGGUAUGCUAUAAAGCUCCAAACUGUUGGCGGUGCAUUUUCACAAUGGCAAUGCCCCAAAUAUGUGACUGCAAAUUUAUGCAGAAAUAAAAAAACGAAGUCAUGAUCAUAAGGGAAAAAAAGCUCUUGACAAAUAGAAGAACAAAAUUACAAAUUCGAUCUGAAAUUUAAAUUGGUAGAACACGACUGGUUUAUUUGUUUUAUAAUAGACAAUGAAAGCAAGUCAAAGUUAGGAUGCGAUCACCAGCUGGAUCCAAAGAGGUGUAAUAUUUAUGUCAAGUUAAUGUAAGCCAUGAAUAUUGAAGCAACUUGGAGAAACGGGUGGGGUCGAUGCUUGGAACCGGGGAUGAAGAUUUGCCAGAAUUUGAAAAGGCUAUGUCACUCACCUAUUCUUAAGUCUUAACAUCUACAGAACGUAGGUCCCUAAUGCAAUCAAGGAACUCAUUGGAAUCUUUUCUUCUCUACUACAGACAUUAAUAUAAGAUUUUCGGGGUGAACAGCAGAAAAAUAUCCUUAAAGAGUUCUUAACCACCAAGUAAUGCUACUCAUUUCCCAACAGUCACAGUUACUUUUCCACGUGGUUUAUUGGAAAGUUCUCUAAAUUUCAAGUGGAAAACAAUUUCAUUGAUAAUUUGACCCAAAAGCCAUAACAAAUGGAAAAACUAGCAAGUGACGCACAUUUUAGUUGUACUUUUGACUGGGGUGUGAUUAAUACUCCCUGUGUUCUUAAAUGAAACAGAAAAUUCCCUCUUAGAUGUUUCGCUUAUGGUGUGUGCUUGUUGGUAUCUUCCCGGCAUCCAUAACUAGAUCUCUCCGUUCCCACUGCAAUCGUUUUUCUGAAUUGUUUUAGUCCAAGAACACAGGAUAACAUAUAUAUAAUAUUAACCAUGAAUGAAAAGAUGAUGUUAUCUUUAUUUCAUGCCAUACAAUUCAUGAGGUGAUGAUGGGAUAAACAGUCGACAGCUACAACUUUUGAUCACUUUUUCAACCAUUCAACCCUCUUCGUUGUCCUUGUUGUUGAUGUUCCUGCUCUCUAGCCACUGAUUUGGACGCAUCCUGUAUUUAUGGUCAAGAGAAGAUGGGUCAUUAACACCCAACUUUAUCCCAUUCGUAAUAGGUCAUUUGAACUUUCAACUUUUCAAAAAUCUGUCCCUUUAUAGAGCAGCGGCCAAAAGGUGAGAGUGCGCUGAGCCUCGGUACCAUUAUAAUUGCCACCCCACAAAAGGAGAGAAUCUCUCUCACCCACCUCCCGCCUCUGGAUUUCUCGAACAUAGCACCAACCCACAAAUUAUUUGGUUCUACAUUAAAAUGUGGGGUUGUGAAUGGCCCCAGCCCCCAGGCACUCAAGUUGAAGCUCUUCUUUCCCACACGUUUUUCACUUGCAUGGUUAAAACCAUGGCCGUGCCGCUCAUCUCUGUUUCUCUUCCCAGUGCCAAAAAAAACUCGCAUUUUAACGGAGCAUUGGAUUCUCCCAACCAGCUUUAGUUUCAUGAAUCAUGGAGCGCUAGAGAGGAAUUUUUGUUCACAGAUUCCGCAUAAUCUGAUUGCAUAUGUUGGGGGGCAUUUUUAUACUAUACCCACGUGAUGAUUUCUUUAUUAAUGGAGCUGCAACUUGGAUAAUCGCGGGAUCACUGCUCCCAACAUUAAAUUAUCUCAUAAAUCUCCCACUACUUAACUUUUUGUUUGUUUAUUUCUUUUGUCAAAUGUGGAAGACAGUUUUCAAAUUAAGGUGACAAAUUGCCAAGUUGAAUUGAAGGGCAUUGCUGUUUGCACUUACUAGUUAACAGUAUCGCAACCGCCGUAAGCAGGUGCACGUCAUGUCUAUUGGUUCCAUCUGUUCCCUAACGAAAACUGCAAGUGUCCAAUGUCCAUGACCCACAAACAAAACAUGGUCAUAUAUGGACCAAUCCAUGCAAAACCGCAUUUGGGUAGGGUGCAGCCGUGCAGGGCAAAUACGCCCCAUCUCCAACCACUCCCAAGAUAACAAUCCAUCGCUCUAUCACAUGGGGUCUCCAAAUGGUACAAAAUUUAGAACACAUUAUUUCCUUUUUCAGCUUAUGCAUGCACUAUUAAUUGUGAGAUUCGAACGUAAAAAUAACACAAAGAAAAAGAGAGCGGCUCAUCAUUCAAUGGGUUAAUAGAUUACAGCUGUAAAGAAAAAAAUCUCAUCAUACUCAUCAUGUCUUUAGCUCUAACCGAACCCCACACGCCGCUCUCUCAUUCGCCAGCUCCCUGCUGGGGAUGCUCUGCUUGCUUCCCGUUCGCUCUUCCUCUUCUACCUACGCUUCCGCGUAAAAUGAUUAACAUCGACCCUCCCGUAACCCUAAUCCCCCCUACAUCCUAAAAUUUAAACGCCCAUUUCUAUAUUCAUAGAAUCAUGUUCAUGCCGAGAAAAGGUCCACACUCAAGACAGUACCAUACAUGAUACAUCUCAUGCUUUCAUGGGCUUCAUUUUUUUUUUUAGUAUUUGUCGUUUAGCUCCUCUCUUAUCGGAAAUGUAUGGAUAAUCUUUUACGCCUUUUGACUCCAAAAUGACACAUCAUCAUCGGCCCUCAGACUAAUGGACAUUAGCAUGUACAUCAGUGUCAGUUCAUUAUUCUUCUAAAGAAUACGAACAAAUUUGACCAAGAAUGUCUUCUCUAUUAAUUUUUUUUUUCUUUUUUUGUAAUUUUUUUAAGCAAAUCCCUCCCGUAACCAAAUUUUCAUUUAAUGAAUGAUUUAAAUAUGAAAAUAUUAUAUUUUAUUUAAUGAAUUAUCUUAGAAUAUAAAUUUGAAUCCCUCGUGUGGCGUGGUUUUGAGUGAUAUCCAUAGAUUUUGAAUGUGAAAAAUGUAGGGAAGUUUCUUGACAUCCAUGGAUUGAAGAUUGGAGAGAGGCGAAACCCAUUUUGGAGGGCCAAAAACCCUGGCACGAAAAUGAAGUAUAUUCUCUGAUGAACGUCCAAUUAAUUACUCACAUUGUCGUUAUCUCUCAUUGUCUUGUUAUUCCAUCGGUCAAAUGGGGAAGGGAAGGCAGCUUCUUGGAUGGAUCUCAUACAGUCAUGCUACCAUCGUUCCAAAUAUUGGUUAUUAUUGUAAUUUCUUUUAGAAAUCCAUGUAGGGGUAAAAUUGUAACAAAACCCUCAUAUGGAUGACAGCCAAGAAAAGGAACAAAAAGAUGGAAAAAGUAAACGGGCGCCAUGCGAAAUGCCCACGGCCGGUCGCCACUAAUCACAGGGUUCGCAGCCAACAAACUAAAGAAGAUGAACCCCGGUCCUUACCCUAUUUACAAUAAUACCACUACGCUCAUUUCCUAAACUACCCAUCUAUUCCGGUAUGGAACUCAAUAAGCGCGCAGAGUUUCUUCUUCCGCCACCGUUCCUCCCUCUCCUCAACCCGCCUUCAACACCACCGCCGGGAGCCACUCUCCCUGACGACUUCGAGUCCUUCUCGCCGGAAAACAUCGCCGGCGAUAGAGACUUUCGGCGACACCGGCAUUUGUCACCGCCACUCUUCAUGAGGGCGGAACUCGCCUUGACAGCCAAUGCGGCCAUCUCCUCCGCCUGAAGCGGUUGCUUCAACCUGCUCAAUGGCAGCGCGAAAUAGAGCUGUCCAGGUUGAAGCUCCUCAUCGUCGUGGAUAGCAGAAACGACGUCGUCAAAGUCCAUUUCAUCGGAGUUACAGAUGAAGCAGGAGGGGUUCUUCUGCAAAACGUAGGAAACCUUGACUGGGUAAGAAAAUUCUUCUAAUCUCCCGUCCUGGAGGAUAAGCUUAGCGGUGGCCACAGAGGUGGCAUCGCAGGAACUGCAAAUACCCAUGUGGUUCGGAGUAAAAUUGGAUUACCGGGCUAAAGGGUUGGAGUCUUGGAGAAGAAAGAGGAUGGGAAGGCAUAUAUAGGGAGGGUGGAGGAAG